This 246-nucleotide unclassified non-coding RNA is filed under the name uncultured fungus. RNAcentral describes it as "partial contains small subunit ribosomal RNA, internal transcribed spacer 1, and 5.8S ribosomal RNA". The stretch from base 1 to 73 matches the Rfam family "Eukaryotic small subunit ribosomal RNA", at positions 1759 to 1831 of the family's 1831-position model. The record is from RNAcentral. Lineage: Eukaryota; Fungi.
UCAAACUUGGUCAUUUAGAGGAAGUAUAAGUCGUAACAAGGUUUCCGUAGGUGAACCUGCGGAAGGAUCAUUAACUAAAAAUAUGAUGUACAUAAUAUUGUACACAUUAACCUUUGUGAAUUGUGCCAUAAUGGCAUUUUUUUUAAAUCUAGAAAUUUUUUUAAGAGUCUAAUUUUUUAAAAUUAUUAAAAAAAAACAACUUUUAACAAUGGAUCUCUAGGCUCUUGCAUCGAUGAAGAACGCAGC